GUAGCGGCGAGCGAACGGGGAGCAGCCCAGAGCCUGAAUCAGUGUGUGUGUUAGUGGAAGCGUCUGGAAAGGCGCGCGAUACAGGGUGACAGCCCCGUACACAAAAAUGCACAUACUGUGAGCUCGAUGAGUAGGGCGGGACACGUGGUAUCCUGUCUGAAUAUGGGGGGACCAUCCUCCAAGGCUAAAUACUCCUGACUGACCGAUAGUGAACCAGUACCGUGAGGGAAAGGCGAAAAGAACCCCGGCGAGGGGAGUGAAAAAGAACCUGAAACCGUGUACGUACAAGCAGUGGGAGCACGCUUAGGCGUGUGACUGCGUACCUUUUGUAUAAUGGGUCAGCGACUUAUAUUCUGUAGCAAGGUUAACCGAAUAGGGGAGCCGAAGGGAAACCGAGUCUUAACUGGGCGUUAAGUUGCAGGGUAUAGACCCGAAACCCGGUGAUCUAGCCAUGGGCAGGUUGAAGGUUGGGUAACACUAACUGGAGGACCGAACCGACUAAUGUUGAAAAAUUAGCGGAUGACUUGUGGCUGGGGGUGAAAGGCCAAUCAAACCGGGAGAUAGCUGGUUCUCCCCGAAAGCUAUUUAGGUAGCGCCUCGUGAAUUCAUCUCCGGGGGUAGAGCACUGUUUCGGCAAGGGGGUCAUCCCGACUUACCAACCCGAUGCAAACUGCGAAUACCGGAGAAUGUUAUCACGGGAGACACACGGCGGGUGCUAACGUCCGUCGUGAAGAGGGAAACAACCCAGACCGCCAGCUAAGGUCCCAAAGUCAUGGUUAAGUGGGAAACGAUGUGGGAAGGCCCAGACAGCCAGGAUGUUGGCUUAGAAGCAGCCAUCAUUUAAAGAAAGCGUAAUAGCUCACUGGUCGAGUCGGCCUGCGCGGAAGAUGUAACGGGGCUAAACCAUGCACCGAAGCUGCGGCAGCGACGCUUAUGCGUUGUUGGGUAGGGGAGCGUUCUGUAAGCCUGCGAAGGUGUGCUGUGAGGCAUGCUGGAGGUAUCAGAAGUGCGAAUGCUGACAUAAGUAACGAUAAAGCGGGUGAAAAGCCCGCUCGCCGGAAGACCAAGGGUUCCUGUCCAACGUUAAUCGGGGCAGGGUGAGUCGACCCCUAAGGCGAGGCCGAAAGGCGUAGUCGAUGGGAAACAGGUUAAUAUUCCUGUACUUGGUGUUACUGCGAAGGGGGGACGGAGAAGGCUAUGUUGGCCGGGCGACGGUUGUCCCGGUUUAAGCGUGUAGGCUGGUUUUCCAGGCAAAUCCGGAAAAUCAAGGCUGAGGCGUGAUGACGAGGCACUACGGUGCUGAAGCAACAAAUGCCCUGCUUCCAGGAAAAGCCUCUAAGCAUCAGGUAACAUCAAAUCGUACCCCAAACCGACACAGGUGGUCAGGUAGAGAAUACCAAGGCGCUUGAGAGAACUCGGGUGAAGGAACUAGGCAAAAUGGUGCCGUAACUUCGGGAGAAGGCACGCUGAUAUGUAGGUGAAGUCCCUCGCGGAUGGAGCUGAAAUCAGUCGAAGAUACCAGCUGGCUGCAACUGUUUAUUAAAAACACAGCACUGUGCAAACACGAAAGUGGACGUAUACGGUGUGACGCCUGCCCGGUGCCGGAAGGUUAAUUGAUGGG
This 1621-nucleotide ribosomal RNA is filed under the name Escherichia coli. RNAcentral describes it as "partial 23S ribosomal RNA". It matches the Rfam family "Bacterial large subunit ribosomal RNA", at positions 243 to 1888 of the family's 2925-position model. Lineage: Bacteria; Pseudomonadati; Pseudomonadota; Gammaproteobacteria; Enterobacterales; Enterobacteriaceae. The record is from RNAcentral.